This 595-nucleotide ribosomal RNA is filed under the name Hepatozoon sp. RNAcentral describes it as "bacterial SSU rRNA". It matches the Rfam family "Eukaryotic small subunit ribosomal RNA", at positions 326 to 920 of the family's 1831-position model. Lineage: Eukaryota; Apicomplexa; Hepatozoidae. The record is from RNAcentral.
GACGGUAAGGUAUUGGCUUACCGUGGCAGUGACGGUUAACGGGGRAUUAGGGUUCAAUUCCGGAGAGGGAGCCUGAGAAACGGCUACCACAUCUAAGGAAGGCAGCAGGCGCGCAAAUUACCCAAUUCUAACAGCAUAAGAGAGGUAGUGACAAGAAAUAACAGUACAAGGCAGUUAAAAUGCUUUGUAAUUGGAAUGAUAGAAAUUUAAAUACUUUUUAAAGUAUCAAUUGGAGGGCAAGUCUGGUGCCAGCAGCCGCGGUAAUUCCAGCUCCAAUAGCGUAUAUUAAAAUUGUUGCAGUUAAAAAGCUCGUAGUUGAAUUUUUGCUAAAAAUAACCGGUCUGCUUUUAUUAAUAAAAGUGGUAUCUUGGUGUGUUUUUAGCAAUAAUGUCCUUUGAAAUGUUUUUUACUUUAUUGUAARAAGCAAUUUUCAGGAUUUUUACUUUGAGAAAAUUAGAGUGUUUCAAGCAGGCUAACGUUUUGAAUACUGCAGCAUGGAAUAAUAAAAUAGGAUUUUAGUUCUACGUUAUUGGUUUUAAGAAYUAAAUUAAUGAUUGAUAGGAGCAGUUGGGGGCAUUUGUAUUUAACUGUCAGA